UGGCUGCUUGAUCAGUUAGUUGGU
Molecule: non-coding RNA, 24 nt
Filed under: Rattus norvegicus (Norway rat)
Lineage: Eukaryota; Metazoa; Chordata; Mammalia; Rodentia; Muridae
Source: RNAcentral